CAGGAGGGACUCAGAGGCAAGGCACGGUGCGGCUGGAGUUCAUCUGAGCACCACGACUAUGCGCUCGAGAAUCCUACUAGAGGGAAACUGGAUGGAUCUGGUGUGCUUGUAUAUCAAAGAAGUUUUAAAACAACAUGCUCGCUCUACAUUACUAAUAUGAAAAUAGUUUCUGCCACUAUUCAAAAAUAGUAGCAGAUAUGUAGUGUCUACUUUGAAAAUAUAUAUAUACUUAAAGCUUAUGUAGCUGUCUUUUCGAAAAAAGUGGGCAACAGCCAGGGAUCGUGGGGUGGGUUUUGUGGGGGCCAGGGAACCUGAUGCAGGAAGCUGGACCGUGGCGGGCAGUCUCAUCAGCGCCCCGCCGGCCUGUCAGCGACCCCCAGCAGCAUCUUGUCCAUGCUGGAGUUGGCACUGUCCGCGGACUUGUCCGGCUCGGGCACACAGGUGCAGCCCACCGGGAUGGUGAUGUAGUGUUCGGCGUACACCGAGCGGCCGC
RNAcentral lists this long non-coding RNA (493 nucleotides) under Rattus norvegicus (Norway rat). RNAcentral describes it as "long non-coding RNA NONRATT010941". Lineage: Eukaryota; Metazoa; Chordata; Mammalia; Rodentia; Muridae. The record is from RNAcentral.